CCUACGGGGCGCAGCAGUGAGGAAUAUUGGUCAAUGGACGAGAGUCUGAACCAGCCAAGUAGCGUGAAGGAUGACUGCCCUAUGGGUUGUAAACUUCUUUUAUAUGGGAAUAAAACGUUCCACGUGUGGGAUUUUGUAUGUACCAUAUGAAUCCGGAUCGGCCAACUCUGCGACAGCAGCCGCGGUAAUACGGAGGUUCCGAGCGUUAUCCGGAUUUAUUGGGUUUAAGGGGAGCGUAGUUGGAUUGGUAAGUCAGUUGUGAAAGUUUGCGGCUUAACCGUAGAAUUGCAGUGGAAACUGGCAGUCUUGAGUACAGGAGAGGUAUGCGGAAUUCGUGGUGUAGCGGUGAAAUGCUUAGAUAUCACGAAGAACUCCGAUUGCGAAGGCAGUUCACUGGACUGCAACUGACACUGAGGCUCGAAAGUGUGGGUAGCAAACAGGAUUAGAUACCCUUGUAGUC
This 460-nucleotide ribosomal RNA is filed under the name uncultured bacterium. RNAcentral describes it as "partial 16S ribosomal RNA". It matches the Rfam family "Bacterial small subunit ribosomal RNA", at positions 338 to 795 of the family's 1533-position model. The record is from RNAcentral.